UAGGGAAUCUUCGGCAAUGGGGGGAACCCUGACCGAGCAACGCCGCGUGAGUGAAGAAGGUUUUUGGAUCGUAAAACUCUGUUAUUAGGGAAGAACAAAUGUGUAAGUAACUAUGCACGUCUUGACGGUACCUAAUCAGAAAGCCACGGCUAACUACGUGCCAGCAGCCGCGGUAAUACGUAGGUGGCAAGCGUUAUCCGGAAUUAUUGGGCGUAAAGCGCGCGUAGGCGGUUUUUUAAGUCUGAUGUGAAAGCCCACGGCUCAACCGUGGAGGGUCAUUGGAAACUGGAAAGCUUGAGUGCAGAAGAGGACAGUGGAAUUCCAUGGCUAGCGGUGAAAUGCGCAGAGAUAUGGAGGAACACCAGUGGCGAAGGCGACUUUCUGAUCUGUAACUGACGCUGAUGUGCGAAAGCGUGGGGAUCAAACAGG
This 429-nucleotide ribosomal RNA is filed under the name Bacteroidota bacterium. Its description in RNAcentral is "Bacteroidetes bacterium partial 16S ribosomal RNA". It matches the Rfam family "Bacterial small subunit ribosomal RNA", at positions 355 to 776 of the family's 1533-position model. The record is from RNAcentral. Lineage: Bacteria; Pseudomonadati; Bacteroidota.